Molecule: ribosomal RNA, 870 nt
Filed under: Triticum aestivum (bread wheat)
Lineage: Eukaryota; Viridiplantae; Streptophyta; Magnoliopsida; Poales; Poaceae
Description: partial small subunit ribosomal RNA
Source: RNAcentral
GUCGAUCGCCCUUGGAAAGGCACCCCAAUCCCAUGUAACCACACUGAUCGUCAGUUAUUUGCUGCAUGCACUAGCAUUCAACUGGGGGAUGGUAGGAAAGCGCAUUUCUGGUCGGAUAGAUGGCUGAAUGGAAUGGCUCCGAUGGAUAUUGCCCCUACUCUGUACAAGUUGUCUCGUAGAAAGCUUCUGUCUGUACGGGGCGGCCUACAUGAUAAUCAAUGGAUGGCUGGGCUGCAAAGGAUCAACAAUGCUCUGACUCUUGACUCCCUUCUGAACCUUUGGACGGCCCUACAGCAGGUCCUUCUCACUGAUCGGGACGACGAAAUCUCUUGGAUCCACUCCUCGAAUGGAAUCUACAACGUCAAAUCCGCUUACAAUAUUCAGUUCAUCACUCGAAUUGCAAUGCCGCAACUUGAAUAGGUAUGGAAAAUCAAGGCUGAACCUAAGAUCAGAUUCUUCAUCUGGACCUUGCUCCAAAACAGGCUGUGGACUGCUGAUCGUCUGGCGGCUCGAGGAUGGCCACAUAACGAUCGCUGCAGCACUUGUGAUCAGCUCUCGGAGUCUGCGCGACACAUCUUGAUUGAUUGCCCUUUUGCGAAGGAGAUUUGGCAAUCCUUUCACUUUUCCCACCCUGAAGUUGCUUCUGCUGCCCUUGCUGCCACUUCUAUCAAAUCCUGGUGGACGACUUCAAUCAGAUGCAAGAUCUUGCAUGACAAUCUUCAUGCAUCUACCGUGGCGGCAUACAUCUCUUGGAAUCUUUGGAAUGAGCGAAACAGAAGGGCUUUCCAACAGAAGACAACUUCCGCGCCUGGAGUACAUAGGAUGAUUAGAGAUGAGAUUGACCUCUUUGCUGGGGCUUGGGAGUUUUAG